Molecule: ribosomal RNA, 490 nt
Filed under: uncultured bacterium
Lineage: Bacteria
Description: partial 16S ribosomal RNA
Rfam family: Bacterial small subunit ribosomal RNA
Source: RNAcentral
AUUGAACGCUGGCGGCAGGCCUAACACAUGCAAGUCGAACGGUAACAGGAAGAAGCUUGCUUCUUUGCUGACGAGUGGCGGACGGGUGAGUAAUGUCUGGGAAACUGCCUGAUGGAGGGGGAUAACUACUGGAAACGGUAGCUAAUACCGCAUAACGUCGCAAGACCAAAGAGGGGGACCUUCGGGCCGCUUGCCAUCGGAUGUGCCCAGAUGGGAUUAGCUAGUAGGUGGGGUAAGGGCUCACCUAGGCGACGAUCCCUAGCUGGUCUGAGAGGAUGACCAGCCACACUGGAACUGAGACACGGUCCAGACUCCUACGGGAGGCAGCAGUGGGGAAUAUUGCACAAUGGGCGCAAGCCUGAUGCAGCCAUGCCGCGUGUAUGAAGAAGGCCUUCGGGUUGUAAAGUACUUUCAGCGGGGAGGAAGGGAGUAAAGUUAAUACCUUUGCUCAUUGACGUUACCCGCAGAAGAAGCACCGGCUAACUCCGUG